This 1251-nucleotide long non-coding RNA is filed under the name Marmota monax (woodchuck). The record is from RNAcentral. Lineage: Eukaryota; Metazoa; Chordata; Mammalia; Rodentia; Sciuridae.
GGGCAUUGUUGGUCAUCUAGACUCCACAGGUCUCCUGUUCUAAGUCUGGGAUAUUCAAAUACCUCUUGUGUCCACAGCUCCCAGGCCUGAACCAUAAGCAGCAGCCCUGCUGCCAGAUAGAUGUCUUGACUGCUGUCCUAUCUUGACUAGGCUCAUUCUCUGAGGGGGAGUAGGUUUUGAGCCAGAGCAAACCCAGGGUUAUAACGCUGUCCCCUUCAAAGCUCACUUUUGUGAUUUUGGUUUUCUCACUGUUGUACUUGGCAGACCUUAGUUUCCAGAUCUAUAUAGUGCGGGUCCCAUGGGGCAUUAGAGCCCCAAGGCUAAAUGAGGCUGCUCAGUGGAGUGGUGCCCGUGGCCCUGGCUUCUACUAAAUUUGUUUUGCCGGGGCUGCUGGAAGUCUUCCCUGUCUUGUUGUCUUUCUGGGAAUCUUGGCUUUUAUCUUCAGUGCUCAUUGAGUCUCUUUUUAAAUGCAGACGUCUCUGGCUGCCUAUCUGCUUUCAUUUGGGCACGUCUGCUGACACUUUUCUGUGAGUUUAUUAGAUGUGUUUUGGAGUCAUGUGGCAAAAGGAAAGGGAAAUGAGAAGGGAGAUUUAGAGCCUGCCCUGACUUCUGGGGAGAUCCACCCCCCCCAGAUUCUCCAUUGCUGACAGAUGCUGCUGCUAGAGCUCACAAUUAGUCUGGUCAGACCCCCAUGUGUUUCACGCAUAGCUCUACCCCCAGGCCGGAGUGGGCUAGGAGAAUGGCGUGCAUAGAUGUAUGGAUGGCGUGGGUCCUCCUUCCUCACAGGGUGGUCAGCAGACAGUUGUUACUGAGCUAAAUAACAUUUCAUUUUGUAGAGCAAAAAUAGUGGAAGCCCAGUGUGGUGGCUUAGCGUGUAAUCCCAGCUACUUAGAAGGCUGACAGAGAAUCACAAGUUCAAGGCCAGCCUGGGCAACUCCGCAAGACUCUUUCUCAGAAUGGGGGGUGGGGAGAAGUGCUGGGGGUGUAACUCAGUGGUAGAGCACCUCUGGGUUCAGUCCCCAGUCCUGCCAAAAUAGUGGAAGGUUUCUAUUUCAUACUGUUCUGCUAAGUGUCAUGCCAAGAGUACAUGAGAAGCAUCGGGAAAGGAGGGGAGGCUUUCUGUGGUGUUGGUGGUACAGAGGGGGUGGAACCUGGGGCCUUGAACACUUGGGAUCUUCCUGCCUCCACCUCCUCAGUAGCUGGCAUGGGCCUCCUCACCUGGCUGCCUCCUUUUGAUCUGUGUGUGUUAAU